GUAGCGCCCUCUCGCGAGAGGGGGCGAGGAUUGAAAC
Betaproteobacteria bacterium RBG_16_56_24 is the source of this 37-nucleotide non-coding RNA. NCBI's taxonomy places the organism in Bacteria, Pseudomonadati, Pseudomonadota, Betaproteobacteria. The record is from Rfam.